This 504-nucleotide ribosomal RNA is filed under the name uncultured Glomus. Its description in RNAcentral is "SSU rRNA". It matches the Rfam family "Eukaryotic small subunit ribosomal RNA", at positions 569 to 1076 of the family's 1831-position model. Lineage: Eukaryota; Fungi; Glomeromycota; Glomeromycetes; Glomerales; Glomeraceae. The record is from RNAcentral.
AGCAGCCGCGGUAAUUCCAGCUCCAAUAGCGCAUAUUAAAGUUGCUGCAGUUAAAAAGCUCGUAGUUGAAUUUCGGGACUAAUAUGUCGGUCGUGCCUCGGUACGUACUGGCUUAUUGGUUUCUCCUUUCUGAAGAACCAUGAUGUCAUUUAUUUGGUGUCGUGGGGAAUCAGGACUGUUACCUUAGAAAAAAUUAGAGUGUUUAAAGCAGGCUCACGCUUGAAUACAUUAGCAUGGAAUAAUGAAAUAGGACGUUUGAUUCUAUUUUGUUGGUUUCUAGGAUCGACGUAAUGAUUAAUAGGGAUAGUUGGGGGCAUUAGUAUUCAAUUGUCAGAGGUGAAAUUCUUGGAUUUAUUGAAGACUAACUACUGCGAAAGCAUUUGCCAAGGAUGUUUUCAUUAAUCAAGAACGAAAGUUAGGGGAUCGAAGACGAUCAGAUACCGUCGUAGUCUUAACCAUAAACUAUGCCGACUAGGGAUCGGAUGAUGUUAAUUUUUAAUGACU